Molecule: ribosomal RNA, 450 nt
Filed under: uncultured bacterium
Lineage: Bacteria
Description: partial 16S ribosomal RNA
Rfam family: Bacterial small subunit ribosomal RNA
Source: RNAcentral
GUGGGGAAUGUUCCGCAAUGGACGAAAGUCUGACGGAGCAACGCCGCGUGAGUGAUGAAGGUUUUCGGACUGUAAAGCUCUGUUGUUUAGGACGAAAGUGCCUGUUGCAAAUAGUUACAGGUAUUGACGGUACUGAACGAGGAAGCCACGGCUAACUACGUGCCAGCAGCCGCGGUAAUACGUAGGUGGCAAGCGUUGUCCGGAAUUAUUGGGCGUAAAGAGCAUGUAGGCGGGAAUCUAAGUCUGUUGUGAAAAUGCGGGGCUCAACCCCGUAUUGCGAUGGAAACUGGGUUUCUUGAGUGCAGGAGAGGAAAGGGGAAUUCCCAGUGUAGCGGUGAAAUGCGUAGAUAUUGGGAGGAACACCAGUGGCGAAGGCGCCUUUCUGGACUGUGUCUGACGCUGAGAUGCGAAAGCCAGGGUAGCGAACGGGAUUAGAAACCCUUGUAGUCC